This 495-nucleotide ribosomal RNA is filed under the name uncultured bacterium. RNAcentral describes it as "partial 16S ribosomal RNA". It matches the Rfam family "Bacterial small subunit ribosomal RNA", at positions 28 to 507 of the family's 1533-position model. The record is from RNAcentral.
GACGAACGCUGGCGGCGUGCCUAAUACAUGCAAGUAGAACGCUGAAGGAGGAGCUUGCUUCUCUGGAUGAGUUGCGAACGGGUGAGUAACGCGUAGGUAACCUGCCUGGUAGCGGGGGAUAACUAUUGGAAACGAUAGCUAAUACCGCAUAAGAGUAGAUGUUGCAUGACAUUUGCUUAAAAGGUGCAAUUGCAUCACUACCAGAUGGACCUGCGUUGUCUUAGCUAGUUGGUGGGGUAACGGCUUACCAAGGCGACGAUACAUAGCCGACCUGAGAGGGUGAACGGCCACACUGGGACUGGGACACGGCCCAGACUCCUACGGGAGGCAGCAGUAGGGAAUCUUCGGCAAUGGACGGAAGUCUGACCGAGCAACGCCGCGUGAGUGAAGAAGGUUUUCGGAUCGUAAAGCUCUGUUGUAAGAGAAGAACGAGUGUGAGAGUGGAAAGUUCACACUGUGACGGUAUCUUACCAGAAAGGGACGGCUAACUACGUG